Molecule: ribosomal RNA, 555 nt
Filed under: Clostridioides difficile
Lineage: Bacteria; Bacillati; Bacillota; Clostridia; Peptostreptococcales; Peptostreptococcaceae
Description: bacterial LSU rRNA
Rfam family: Bacterial large subunit ribosomal RNA
Source: RNAcentral
AACUCACUUAGAGUAAUGUCUAAGUAUCAUUAAGUGAAUACAUAGCUUAAUGAGGGGAACUCAGGGAACUGAAACAUCUAAGUACCUGAAGGAAGAGAAAGAAAUUCGAUUCCGUAAGUAGCGGCGAGCGAACGCGGAUUAGCCCAAACCAAUAAAGUUUUCUUUAUUGGGGUUGCGGACAUAUCAUAACGAAGAGGUAUCGUAAUUGAAGAGGUUUGGAAAGACCCACCACAGAAGGUAAUAGUCCUGUAUGUUAAACGAGAAGACUUUAGAUAUGAUCCAGAGUACCACGGGACACGUGAAACCCUGUGGGAAGCAGGAGGGACCACCCUCCAAGGCUAAAUACUACCUAGUGACCGAUAGCGUAUAGUACCGUGAGGGAAAGGUGAAAAGAACCCCGGGAGGGGAGUGAAAUAGAACCUGAAACCCUGCACUUACAAGCUGUGGAAGCACAUUUCUUGUGUGACCGCGUACUUUUUGUAGAACGGGCCAACGAGUUACGUUAAGUAGCAAGGUUAAGCACUUAAGGUGUGGAGCCGUAGCGAAAGCGAGUUU